Long non-coding RNA from Ipomoea nil (Japanese morning glory), 243 nucleotides. RefSeq lists it as uncharacterized. The record is from RefSeq and is a predicted model, not a curated record. The transcript is spliced from 3 exons. NCBI's taxonomy places the organism in Eukaryota, Viridiplantae, Streptophyta, Magnoliopsida, Solanales, Convolvulaceae.
UAGGAAAACUCUUAUACAAGAUGUCGAUGAUGAUCAACAAUUAGAUUUACAACCGUCUUCUGACAUGGAUACAAAACCAUUUGGACAAUUGUAUGCGUACAAAUCUAAAAGACAAGCAAUCAAUAUCAUUGAAGUUGUGAUUUCUAAACUACCAAGAGAAUUUAUUGUCACCAACAGGACAUGACAACAAAAAGCUAAUGAUUUUGUGAUGGUUGAUGAAGAGCUUAAAUCUAUCAUUUUUAC